UACGUAGGGGGCAAGCGUUGUCCGGAAUCAUUGGGCGUAAAGAGCGUGUAGGCGGUUCGGUAAGUCGGCUGUGAAAGUCCAGGGCUCAACCCUGGGAUGCCGGUCGAUACUGCCGGACUAGAGUUCGGAAGGGGCGAGUGGAAUUCCCGGUGUAGCGGUGAAAUGCGCAGAUAUCGGGAGGAACACCUAUGGCGAAGGCAGCUCGCUGGGACGUUACUGACGCUGAGACGCGAAAGCGUGGGGAGCAAACAGG
This 253-nucleotide ribosomal RNA is filed under the name uncultured bacterium. RNAcentral's name for it is "partial 16S ribosomal RNA". It matches the Rfam family "Bacterial small subunit ribosomal RNA", at positions 524 to 776 of the family's 1533-position model. The record is from RNAcentral.